Molecule: long non-coding RNA, 456 nt
Filed under: Capra hircus (goat)
Lineage: Eukaryota; Metazoa; Chordata; Mammalia; Artiodactyla; Bovidae
Description: lncRNA (ENSCHIG00000000771.1)
Source: RNAcentral
GUCCACUUUCUCUCAUUUUUCUUCUGAAAUGCACAAGCAGCACGGCAUCGUUUUCUCUCUUCUUCUCCAUCUUCUCUUCCCCCUCUACGCCCCCUACCCGUCUUUCCUUCAACACGUGCACACAAGCACACACGUUAGUUUUCUCUUAUUUAUUUAUUUUUUUUAAUCCCCAGGGGACUCACGGAACAGUCUGUGUGCAGCUGCUGUGUUUUCCGCUUGUUAAAUUGGCAGUUACCUACUGCGUAGAGUUGCUAGGAGAAGGAGUAUCAUCAUGGGGUCUACUGCUACAGAAACUGAAGAAGUGGAAAACACUACUUUUAAGUAUCUCAUAGGAGAACAGACUGAAAAAAUGUGGCAACGCCUGAAAGGAAUGUGAGUAAGCUCUUUGCUUGGUUCUGUGUUUUUAUCCACCUCUCUGAUAAAAAAUUUUGAGUAUUAACAUGUUGAAUUAUUGGC